RNAcentral lists this ribosomal RNA (581 nucleotides) under Xylaria sp. LSEM1266. Its description in RNAcentral is "partial 28S ribosomal RNA". It matches the Rfam family "Eukaryotic large subunit ribosomal RNA", at positions 45 to 649 of the family's 3401-position model. The record is from RNAcentral. Lineage: Eukaryota; Fungi; Ascomycota; Sordariomycetes; Xylariales; Xylariaceae.
AAUAAGCGGAGGAAAAGAAACCAACAGGGAUUGCCCUAGUAACGGCGAGUGAAGCGGCAACAGCUCAAAUUUGAAAUCUGGCCCUCGCGGUCCGAGUUGUAAUUUGUAGAGGAUGCUUUGGGCGCGGCGCCUUCCGAGUUCCCUGGAACGGGACGCCAGAGAGGGUGAGAGCCCCGUACGGUUGGACGCCUAGCCUAUGUAUAGCUCCUUCGACGAGUCGAGUAGUUUGGGAAUGCUGCUCUAAAUGGGAGGUAAAUUUCUUCUAAAGCUAAAUACCGGCCAGAGACCGAUAGCGCACAAGUAGAGUGAUCGAAAGAUGAAAAGCACUUUGAAAAGAGGGUUAAAUAGCACGUGAAAUUGUUGAAAGGGAAGCGUUUGCGACCAGACCUUCUCCGGGGGGAUCAUCCGGUGUUCUCACCGGUGCACUCCCCUCGGUCUAGGCCAGCAUCGGUUUCCUUAGGGGGAUAAAGGCUUGGGGAACGUAGCUCCUUCGGGAGUGUUAUAGCCCCUCGCGUAAUACCCCUCGGGGGACCGAGGACCGCGCUUCGGCAAGGAUGCUGGCGUAAUGGUCGUCAACGACC